Molecule: small nucleolar RNA, 87 nt
Organism: Asterias rubens (European starfish)
Lineage: Eukaryota; Metazoa; Echinodermata; Asteroidea; Forcipulatida; Asteriidae
Product: small nucleolar RNA R38
Exons: 1
Source: RefSeq, a predicted model, not a curated record
ACCUUUCUAUGAUGAUAAAAGUUAUCCCUGUCUGAAAAUGUUUAAAAGAAUUAUCGAUGUGGAUGAUGUUGUGUAUCUGAGAAAUGU